AGAGUUUGAUCAUGGCUCAGAUUGAACGCUGGCGGCUGGCCUCACACUUGGAAGUCGAACGGUUACAGGAUGUGCUUGCACAUCGCUGACGAGUGGCGGACGGGUGAGUUAUGCUUGGGAACUUGCCUUUGCGAGGGGGAUAACCGUUGGAAACGACUGCUAUUACCGCAUUAUGUCUACGGACCAAACGGGGCUUAGGCUCCGGCGCAAAGAGAGGCCCAAGUGAGAUUAGCUAGUUGGUAAGGUAACGGCUUACCAAGGCGACGAUCUCUAGCUGUUCUGAGAGGAAGAUCUGCCACACUGGGACUGAGACGCGGCCCAGACUCCUACUGGAGGC
Molecule: ribosomal RNA, 337 nt
Filed under: uncultured gamma proteobacterium 400m-FREE-21
Lineage: Bacteria; Pseudomonadati; Pseudomonadota; Gammaproteobacteria
Description: bacterial SSU rRNA
Rfam family: Bacterial small subunit ribosomal RNA
Source: RNAcentral